Molecule: long non-coding RNA, 316 nt
Organism: Anguilla anguilla (European eel)
Lineage: Eukaryota; Metazoa; Chordata; Actinopteri; Anguilliformes; Anguillidae
Exons: 2
Source: RefSeq, a predicted model, not a curated record
AAAGACUGACUCCAAAAGACGACUACAAGGGUUCUACAAAGACAUGUAACGUUACACAUUGACUGAGGGAAUGCACAAUGAGGAGAGGAGGAGAAGAUAUCGUCAUGGUCAUCUUUGGGCAUGUGGUCCAGGAAAUUCCUCAUUUGUUGCUUCCGCUUCAGAGUGCCUGCCUUUGCCGUUAUCUGCGGUGACUCCUUAACUACAAGCCAGGGAAACGGGCAGCUUUCAACCCUCACGCAAUGGCUCUGGUCAUAACUUUAACUCAAUUAGAAAUUAAUUAAAUAAAAUGUACCAAGUACUUAGGCAAAUCUUAAAA